CAGCCGCCACGGUAAUACGUAGGGUGCGAGCGUUAAUCGGAAUUACUGGGCGUAAAGCGUGCGCAGGCGGUUCGUUAAGACAGAUGUGAAAUCCCCGGGCUUAACCUGGGAACUGCAUUUGUGACUGGCGAGCUAGAGUAUGGCAGAGGGGGGUAGAAUUCCACGUGUAGCAGUGAAAUGCGUAGAGAUGUGGAGGAAUACCGAUGGCGAAGGCAGCCCCCUGGGCCAAUACUGACGCUCAUGCACGAAAGCGUGGGGAGCAAACAGGAUUAGAGACCCGCGUAGUCCCUGUCUCUUAUAC
This 301-nucleotide ribosomal RNA is filed under the name uncultured bacterium. RNAcentral describes it as "partial 16S ribosomal RNA". It matches the Rfam family "Bacterial small subunit ribosomal RNA", at positions 509 to 807 of the family's 1533-position model. The record is from RNAcentral.